Molecule: ribosomal RNA, 492 nt
Filed under: uncultured bacterium
Lineage: Bacteria
Description: partial 16S ribosomal RNA
Rfam family: Bacterial small subunit ribosomal RNA
Source: RNAcentral
AGUGAACGCUGGCGGUAGGCCUAACACAUGCAAGUCGAACGGCAGCACAGUAAGAGCUUGCUCUUACGGGUGGCGAGUGGCGGACGGGUGAGGAAUACAUCGGAAUCUACUUUUUCGUGGGGGAUAACGUAGGGAAACUUACGCUAAUACCGCAUACGACCUACGGGUGAAAGCAGGGGAUCUUCGGACCUUGCGCGAUUGUAUGAGCCGAUGUCGGAUUAGCUAGUUGGCGGGGUAAAGUCCCACCAAGGCGACGAUCCGUAGCUGGUCUGAGAGGAUGAUCAGCCACACUGGAAGUGAGACACGGACCAGACUCCUACGGGAGGCAGCAGUGGGGAAUAUUGGAAAAUGGGAGCAAGACUGAUACAGCAAUACCGCGUGGGUGAAGAAGGCCUUCGGGUUGUAAAGCCCUUUUGUUGGGAAAGAAAAGAAGCAGGUUAAUACCCCGCUGUUCUGACGGUACCCAAAGAAUAAGCACCGGCUAACUUCGUG